This 432-nucleotide ribosomal RNA is filed under the name uncultured bacterium. RNAcentral describes it as "bacterial SSU rRNA". It matches the Rfam family "Bacterial small subunit ribosomal RNA", at positions 358 to 782 of the family's 1533-position model. The record is from RNAcentral.
GGAAUUUUGCGCAAUGGCCGCAAGGCUGACGCAGCAACGCCGCGUGGGUGAUGAAGGCCUUCGGGUCGUAAAGCCCUGUCAGGUGGGAAGAAAGGUCUUGAGAGGAAAGGCUUGGGAUUUGACGGUACCACCAGAGGAAGCACCGGCUAACUCCGUGCCAGCAGCCGCGGUAAUACGGAGGGUGCGAGCGUUAUUCGGAAUUACUGGGCGUAAAGCGCGUGUAGGCGGGGAUGCAAGUCUGAUGUGAAAGCCCUGGGCUUAACCUGGGAAGUGCAUUGGAAACUGCAUUUCUUGAGUACUGGAGAGGAAGGGGGAAUUCCCGGUGUAGAGGUGAAAUUCGUAGAGAUCGGGAGGAAUACCAGUGGCGUAGGCGCCCUUCUGGACGGUUACUGACGCUGAGACGCGAAAGCGUGGGGAGCAAACAGGAUUAGA